This 1046-nucleotide ribosomal RNA is filed under the name uncultured organism. RNAcentral's name for it is "bacterial SSU rRNA". It matches the Rfam family "Bacterial small subunit ribosomal RNA", at positions 83 to 1164 of the family's 1533-position model. The record is from RNAcentral.
CCUUCGGGUUGAGUGGCGGACGGGUGAGUAACGCGUGAGAAUCUGCCUUGGGGUCGGGGACAACCACUGGAAACGGUGGCUAAUACCGGAUAAGCCUUUGGGUAAAAAAUUUAUUGCCCCAAGAGGAGCUCGCGUCUGAUUAGCUAGUUGGUGAGGUAAGAGCUCACCAAGGCAGCGAUCAGUAGCUGGUCUGAGAGGACGAUCAGCCACACUGGGACUGAGACACGGCCCAGACUCCUACGGGAGGCAGCAGUGGGGAAUUUUCCGCAAUGGGCGAAAGCCUGACGGAGCAAGACCGCGUGAGGGAGGAAGGCUCUUGGGUUGUAAACCUCUUUUCUCAGGGAAGAAGCUCUGACGGUACCUGAGGAAUCAGCCUCGGCUAACUCCGUGCCAGCAGCCGCGGUAAUACGGAGGAGGCAAGCGUUAUCCGGAAUUAUUGGGCGUAAAGCGUCCGCAGGUGGCGAUUCAAGUCUGCUGUCAAAGCACGGGGCUUAACUCCGUUAAGGCAGUGGAAACUGAAUAGCUAGAGUGCCGUAGGGGUAGAGGGAAUUCCCGGUGUAGCGGUGAAAUGCGUAGAGAUCGGGAAGAACAUCGGUGGCGAAAGCGCUCUACUGGACGGCAACUGACACUCAGGGACGAAAGCUAGGGGAGCGAAUGGGAUUAGAUACCCCAGUAGUCCUAGCUGUAAACGAUGGAUACUAGGUGUAGCUUGUAUCGACCCGAGCUGUGCCGAAGCUAACGCGUUAAGUAUCCCGCCUGGGGAGUACGCACGCAAGUGUGAAACUCAAAGGAAUUGACAGGGGCCGGAACAAACCGUGGAAUAUUUGGUUUAAUUCGAAGCCACCCGGAGGACCUUACCAGGGCUUGACAAGUCCGGAAUCCCGGUGAAAACUGGGAAUGCCUUCGGGAACCGGGACAAAGGUUGUGCAAGGCUGUUCUCAGCUUCUUUUCUGAGAAUCUGGGUUAAAUUCCGCCACGAGCGCAACCCUCGUCUUUAGUUGCCAGCAUUAAGUUGGGCACUCUAGAGAGACUGCCGGUGACAAACC